RNAcentral lists this ribosomal RNA (266 nucleotides) under uncultured archaeon. Its description in RNAcentral is "partial 16S ribosomal RNA". It matches the Rfam family "Archaeal small subunit ribosomal RNA", at positions 717 to 982 of the family's 1478-position model. The record is from RNAcentral.
ACACGACUACAUUAGAUACCCGGGUAGUCCUAGCCGUAAACGAUACUCGCUAGGUGUCGGCCACGGUGCGACCGUUGUCGGUGCCGUAGGGAAGCCGUGAAGCGAGCCACCUGGGAAGUACGGCCGCAAAGGCUGAAACUUAAAGGAAUUGGCGGGGGAGCACAACAACGGGUGGAGCUUGCGGUUUAAUUGGAUUCAACGCCGGAAAUCUUACCGGGACCGACAGCAACAUGAAGGCCAAGCUGAAGACUUUGCCGGAUUAGCUG